GAUGAAGAACGUAGCGAAAUGCGAUAAGUAAUGUGAAUUGCAGAAUUCAGUGAAUCAUCGAAUCUUUGAACGCACAUUGCGCCCCUCGGUAUUCCGGGGGGCAUGCCUGUCCGAGCGUCAUUACAACCCUCAAGCUCAGCUUGGUGUUGGGCCCCGCCGCCCCGGCGGGCCCUAAAGUCAGUGGCGGUGCCGUCCGGCUCCGAGCGUAGUAAUUCUUCUCGCUCUGGAGGUCCGGUCGUGUGCUCGCCAGCAACCCCCAAUUUUUUUCAGGUUGACCUCGGAUCAGGUAGGGAUACCCGCUGAACUUAAGCAUAUCAAUAAGCGGAGGA
This 329-nucleotide unclassified non-coding RNA is filed under the name soil metagenome. Its description in RNAcentral is "partial contains 5.8S ribosomal RNA, internal transcribed spacer 2, and large subunit ribosomal RNA". The stretch from base 1 to 120 matches the Rfam family "5.8S ribosomal RNA", at positions 35 to 154 of the family's 154-position model. The record is from RNAcentral.